AAGUAUGAAGCUAUUGUGGCUGUAGUUUUGCAAAGACUAUUAAGGAGUGAGUUCCCAUACUUU
RNAcentral lists this transfer RNA (63 nucleotides) under Anoplocephala magna. RNAcentral describes it as "tRNA-Cys". The record is from RNAcentral. Lineage: Eukaryota; Metazoa; Platyhelminthes; Cestoda; Cyclophyllidea; Anoplocephalidae.